Molecule: long non-coding RNA, 636 nt
Filed under: Capsicum annuum
Lineage: Eukaryota; Viridiplantae; Streptophyta; Magnoliopsida; Solanales; Solanaceae
Description: long non-coding RNA (CANN_LNC018853)
Source: RNAcentral
GCCACUUAAGAAAAAUAACUCUGAUACCAAUUAUUGGUUUUAAAAAUAGAGAUGAGUUAAGAAGAGACGCAGAUAAAUUUAUUUUUGUUUUCUGAAAAAACUACAUAUUAUUGAUCAUCAACUCCUCAUUAAACAGUGCUAUUAUUAUCAAGAAAUGGACUUUGGGCCUAACUCAACCUCAAAAGCUAGCUCAAGAGAAGAGGAUUGCCCAAGUCCAUAUAAGCAAACCACUAGUCCAUUCCCCAACCAAUGUGGGACUUUUUACCCACUCUAACACCCCCCUCACGCCCAGGCCCAACUGGCACUGGCGUGUGGACCGGGAGCCCAAAACGGGGAUGGACCUAGCUCUGAUACUAUGUCAAGAAAUGGACCUUGGGCCUAACUCAACCUCAAAAGCUAGCUCAAGAGAAGAGGAUUGCCCAAGUCUAUAUAAACAAACCACUAGUCCAUUCCCCAACCAAUGUGAGACUUUUUACCCACUCUAACAAUUACAACCAAAAAUAGAUUAAACUUAUCAUAAAAGAAAACCUAUUUUCUACCAAAAAUAAUAACUAAUUAGUUUCCUACCAAAACUAAAAAUCCUAAUUUAACUAGGAGUUGUAUGUAAAAAAAUUUGAAAAACAUAAAAAAUAAAUC